Molecule: transfer RNA, 61 nt
Filed under: Ampithoe lacertosa
Lineage: Eukaryota; Metazoa; Arthropoda; Malacostraca; Amphipoda; Ampithoidae
Description: tRNA-Ala
Source: RNAcentral
AAAACAGUAAUUUAUAGAGAAUAUAUGAUUUGCACUCAUAAAGUGUUUAAUACCUGUUUUA